CAGCCGCCAGGUAACACGUAGGUGGCAAGCGUUGUCCGGAAUUAUUGGGCGUAAAGGGCUCGCAGGCGGUUUCUUAAGUCUGAUGUGAAAGCCCCCGGCUCAACCGGGGAGGGUCAUUGGAAACUGGGAAACUUGAGUGCAGAAGAGGAGAGUGGAAUUCCACGUGUAGCGGUGAAAUGCGUAGAGAUGUGGAGGAACACCAGUGGCGAAGGCGACCCUCUGGUCUGUAACUGACGCUGAGGAGCGAAAGCGUGGGGAGCGAACAGGAUUAGAUACCCCGGUAGUCCCUGUCUCUUAUACA
This 301-nucleotide ribosomal RNA is filed under the name uncultured bacterium. RNAcentral's name for it is "partial 16S ribosomal RNA". It matches the Rfam family "Bacterial small subunit ribosomal RNA", at positions 512 to 808 of the family's 1533-position model. The record is from RNAcentral.